This 465-nucleotide ribosomal RNA is filed under the name uncultured bacterium. RNAcentral describes it as "bacterial SSU rRNA". It matches the Rfam family "Bacterial small subunit ribosomal RNA", at positions 338 to 795 of the family's 1533-position model. The record is from RNAcentral.
CCUACGGGUGGCUGCAGUCGAGAAUCUUCCGCAAUGGGCGAAAGCCUGACGGAGCGACGCCGCGUGGAGGACGAAGGCCUUCGGGUUGUAAACUCCUGUCACGAGUUAAGAAGGUGCUGCCACGAACAGUGGUAGUAUUUGACGUAAGCUCGAGAGGAAGCACUGGCUAACUCUGUGCCAGCAGCCGCGGUAAUACAGAGAGUGCAAACGUUGUUCGGAAUUACUGGGCUUAAAGCGCACGUAGGCUGCAUCGUAAGUGUCAAGUGAAAUCCCACGGCUUACCCGUGGAACUGCUUGGCAUACUGCGGAGCUAGAGUGUGGUAGGGGAGAGCGGAACUCCUGGUGGAGCGGUGAAAUGCGUAGAUAUCAGGAGGAACACCGGUGGCGAAGGCGGCUCUCUGGUCCACAACUGACGCUGAGGUGCGAAAGCUAGGGGAGCAAACGGGAUUAGAUACCCUUGUAGUC